RNAcentral lists this transfer RNA (73 nucleotides) under Merluccius polli (Benguela hake). RNAcentral describes it as "tRNA-Val". It matches the Rfam family "tRNA". Rfam says of the family: Transfer RNA (tRNA) molecules are approximately 80 nucleotides in length. Their secondary structure includes four short double-helical elements and three loops (D, anti-codon, and T loops). Further hydrogen bonds mediate the characteristic L-shaped molecular structure. tRNAs have two regions of fundamental functional importance: the anti-codon, which is responsible for specific mRNA codon recognition, and the 3' end, to which the tRNAs corresponding amino acid is attached (by aminoacyl-tRNA synthetases). tRNAs cope with the degeneracy of the genetic code in two manners: having more than one tRNA (with a specific anti-codon) for a particular amino acid; and 'wobble' base-pairing, i.e. permitting non-standard base-pairing at the 3rd anti-codon position. The record is from RNAcentral. Lineage: Eukaryota; Metazoa; Chordata; Actinopteri; Gadiformes; Merlucciidae.
GUUUCUGUAGUGUAGUGGUUAUCAAGUUUGCCAAACACGCGAAAGGUCCCCGGUUCGAAACCGGGCAGAAACU